GUCUUAUUGUAACCUAAAUAAUAAGUCUAGCCUGCCCAAUGAAAUUGUUUAAUGGCCGCGGUAUUUUGACCGUGCGAAGGUAGCAUAAUCAAUAGUCUAUUAAAUGUGGUCUGGUAUGAAUGGUUUGACGGGGGAUGACUUUCUUAAUUCUAUUGUUGAAUUUUAAGUGUCAGUGAGAAUGCUGACAUAUUGAAAAGGGACGAGAAGACCCUAUAGAGCUUUAUAUAUACUCAAUUUUAUUGGUAAUUGUGUUUGAUGAUAAUAUUUUGUUGGGGCGAUGAUAAAUAAUAAACAUUUAUGGGUGUUACUAAUAUAUUAGGCGAAAUUGAUCCAUUAAUAAUGAUUAAUAGGCUAAGUUACCUUAGGGAUAACAGCGUAAUUUUAUUUUAGAGUUCUUAUCGACAAUGAAGUUUGCGACCUCGAUGUUGGAUUAGGGUUUCUUUGGGACGCAGGAGUUUCAUAAGAUGGUCUGUUCGACUAUUAAAAUCCUACA
RNAcentral lists this ribosomal RNA (493 nucleotides) under Otostigmus caraibicus. Its description in RNAcentral is "partial 16S ribosomal RNA". It matches the Rfam family "Bacterial large subunit ribosomal RNA", at positions 1819 to 2600 of the family's 2925-position model. The record is from RNAcentral. Lineage: Eukaryota; Metazoa; Arthropoda; Chilopoda; Scolopendromorpha; Scolopendridae.